UAAUCUCAUUGUAUGCUGGACAGUAAAGUAAGAAAUGUUCUAAAUUUUCAUGUUGUUCCUCACAGCAGCAACAGUUGCACACUUUCCCUGGAGUGGAAGAACCUACAAGAAGAGGAGGAGUGACGGCAAGUUAGUUAAUGUUUAGAAAGAUGUCACUUUUCCACGUAACGCUCCACAGUUCCAUAUGAAAUUAACAUAGUAGUUUCCAUUAAUGAAGCACAUUUACAGAUUCCAAAGGACAGAAAGUGCUACAUUUUGUUCAGUUUGGUACAACGUUACUACUCCGAACAUGGCAGGAAGAUUAGUUAUUGAAGUUAAGCAGUCAAUAAGCAUAAAAUAUUCACAUAACAGUGAUGGAAAAAAUGUAGCACAACCUGUGGCAGUAAUGCCACAAACUGGAGCCGUAGUAACAAUCAAUUCAUAAUAUUAGUUGUCUUUCAACAGUGAGGACAUCAAGUUGUCAACUAGAAGUUCAUGUCACAAGAACACCAAAAGUUUUAGAAGUAAAGUCAUUAAGCGGAACUUUUCAAGUUUCAGAACCUAGUGCCAGUAACUCUGGUGGUGUCUGAAAAUUAAGUAGCAAGGAGUUCUGGAAGUAAUGCACCAGUAACUAUUAGUAGUAUUAACAAUACAUCUCCCUCAACAAAGUCAAGAAGAGAUGCCACAUGUACUGCCAGUCAUGACUCCAAAAUUAGAUAAACUUAUUCCUAGAGGUCCAAAGGAGAACACUAUUGAUGAAAGAUCUACCAGAGCACCAAAAACAAUUAAUCAAAAUUCCUGAAAAUGUUGCAGUACUCCAAAAAUUCUGCAUUCUGCUGUACUUCCAUAGAGUUGCACUCUCCAGUGUAAAAGUCCAGAAGUAGCUCACAAUAGCAGCAAAAGAUAUGGCUCUUAUGGUUUUGCUGAUAAUUGUCAAGUAAAUGUUAAUAUUUGUAAGACACCUAUGAACAAAUAUGGGGUCAUCAACUUGGUGAAAAGCAGAAGCAGUGUGAUCUUAGAGGAGGUGCAUAUAAAGACCUGGAAUGUGCCUUUGAUGUAGGGAAUGACCAGGAUAACCUUCCUUGUGCACUUUUUAGUACAGAAAACGGCAAAGAAUUUCCUGAGUGUUCUACUUUUUUACAUUUAAGAAAAACCUUCACUCGGCUUGAUAGUAUCAUAAAUGAUACUGAUACCAGUAGAUAUGAUUUUCAAGAAGAGUUUCAAAAGGUAAUGGAAAAAGUGAAGAAGAGAAGGUCUACACUCAAGUCGAAGAUCAUCAAUACAGUUUUGGUGACAUUAAGUCAUAUGGUUCAGUUUUACCCAUGCUGAGCAUCACAGAGAACUGAAAAGUGUAGCGGUUGGAACGUAGUAAGGAGAGAAUGGUGCGUAAGGUUGGCUGCAGUGAACCUUCGGCAGAAACUUUCUUGACAACUGAGUAUCGGCUACCAGUUCUUGGUUCGGCAAUACUUCCAAACAUUACAGAGAAGUUUCACAUGGCCCCGCAACAGAGAUAUUUUCCUGGUGUCACACAUUCUUGAACGUUCCACAUAUUUAGCUCCUGGACUCCAGUGCUGGUUACUUAUUUCCGCUAGUGUACUGGUGUAUGAUUGUGAACAAGCUGUGUAAGCACAUACUACUGACAAAAAGAUGUCCUCUACAGUGUGUGGAAAACCUUGUGAAAUGUCAGAUUCAACAGAUCAUAUAACCGAAGACACAUGGAAUAAACUGAAAUCCAAAACUUUGAACUGGAAGGGUCUUGAUAGAAUUGGAAAUUGUUUUUGAUAUUGUUCACUGGGAGCUGGAACCCUAUGGUAAACAUAUGGACAUUAACUGUCGAAAUGAUAUAUCAAGCUCAGAUUAACUAAAUCAAAGAAGAGAACAGAAAUAUGUGAGAGAAUUAACCUCAAGUCAGCAAGAACAGCAUAUAUCCUCAUCUGCACCAAAGCAUCUGCAAUCGGGUGUAGGACUAGCGUAUGACAAAAAUGUGUGUGGUGCAUGAAACCGGAGGAUACCAAGCUUCCUGAGUGAAUAGGACAGUGGCUUCUCAUAUCUUAUAAGCUGACAUGGAAUGUCUAAAAGCCACACCAUAGUGUUGAAAGAUGAUGCCAUGAGGGACAGAAUCAACUGCCUCAUUGACUGAAUCAUUGAUCCAUUUGCAGCAGACACAAGGUACCACCAUCAUUGCUGGUUCAAGUACAUAACUCCGUAUCAAAAAAUGUCUGGUGAACAAAAGAUCCCUCUCCUGCAGAAAGUGACUUUUUGUGAGGCACAAACUAUUUUCAUAGAUCAUGUUCAUCAAGCUAUUUUUGUUGACCAUGAGAUCAGGACACUUCAGGGAUUACCCAAAGAUUACCAAGGCAUCAUGGAAAUCUAUGGCUUACCUACAUCAGGGACCAAAUCAAGCUACAUAAAAGAUAUUCUAAUUAGAGAAUUUGGAACUGGAGUAGGGUUUUACAGUCAUUCUCUGAAGCAGCUGAGUGAGGUUGUAUAUGAUAGUAGUGGUGGUGGCUCAUAUUGAGGCUGGUAUCACAUCAAUGGGGAUUAUCAAUGAGCAUCUCGUAGAGAAUAUAGCAAACAGGUUGAGAGCUGAGAUCACACAAAUUGCGACAGUCCCCUGGCCUCCACAGGUAACUGAACUACUUCCUUGUUCAGCUUAACUCUUCACUCAAAACAUCUAACCAAGUUGAGUCUGACAUCCAAGGCUCACACACUAGCUUCACUGCUCUCAUGUCACAAGCAAGCCAGCAUUUACAUCAAUCAACCAGGUACUGGUGUAUGAUUGUGAACAAGCUGUGUGAAGCACAUACUGACAAAAAGAUGUCUUCUUCAGAGUUUGAGUCUCUUCUGCAGAGUUGAAAACCGUGUGAAAUGUCAGAUUCAACAGAACAUAGAACUGAAGAGACAUGGAAUAAAUUGAAAUACAAAGCUUGGAACUGGAAGGGUCUUGAUAGAUUUGGGAAUUGUUUUUGAUACUGUUCAUUGGGAACUGGGUCCCUAUGGUAAACAUAUGGACAUUAACUGUCGAACUGAUAUAUCAAGCUUAGAUAAACUAACAAGAUCAAAGAAGAGACAACAAAUAUAUGAGAGAAUUAACCUCAAGUCAGCAAGAACAACAUAUAUCCUCAUCUGCAAGCAUCUGCAAUCGGGUGUAGGUCUAGUGCAUGACAAAAAUAUGUCUCUGGUGCAUGAAACCGGAGGAUACCAAGCUUCCUGAGUGAAUAGGACAGUGGCUUCUCUUAUUUUAUCAGCCGACUUGGAAUGUCUUUAAAAGCCACACCAUAGUGUUGAAAGAUGAUACGAUGAGGAACAGAAUCAACUGCCUCAUUGACUGAAUCACCGAUCCAUUUGCAGCAAAGACAAGUUACCACCAUAAAUGCUGGUUCAAGUACAUAACUCUGUAUCAAAAAAUGUCUGGUGAACAAAGAUCCCUCUCCUGCAGAAAGUGACUUUUUGUGAGGCACAAACUAUUUUCAUAGAUCAUGUUCAUCAAGCUAUUUUUGUUGACCAUGAGAUCAGGACACUUCAAGGAUUACUCAAGAGAUUACCAAGGCAUCAUGGAAACCUAUGGCUUACCUACAUCAGGGACCACUUCAAGCUACAUAAAAGAUAUUCUAAUUAGAGAAUUUGGAACUGGAGUAGGGUUUUACAGUCAUUCUCUGAAGCAGCAGGGUGAGGUUGUAUGUGAUUGUAGUGGUGGUGGCUUAUAUAUUGAGACUGCUAUCACGUCAAUGGGGAGUAAAUGAGGAACUCCAAGAGAAUAUAGAAAACAGGUUGGGAGCUGAGAUCACACAAAUUGCGACAGUCCCCUGGCCUCCACAGGUAAUUGAACUUCCUUUUCAGCUUAUCUCUUCACUCAAAAGAUCCAGCAAAGCUGAGUCUGACAUCCAAGGCUCACACACUAGCUUCACUGCUCUCAUGUCACAAGCAAGACAACAAUUACAUUAAUCAACUUGGGUAUGAACUUGCAUGGACUUACUCGCAGUAAAGAGCUAGUUAAUACAUUUUAGAAAGUGGGGGUUUGUAUUUUGUAUUCACAGAUACUCCUUUGCAGGGACAUUAAAGGCAAGGUACCACAACCAACACUAAAUCAAAGGAAUCAUGUUUUUUUUUACAAAUUCAGUACGUACUGAUAGGUACUGGAUUUUAGAUGUUUGAAUUCCAUAGAUUAAAAGACUGUUUAACAGUAGUAAAGUGGUUAAAAAAAAUGGCCUAUUAGUUCAUUUAAAGUUAAAAGAAAAUUACUGUUUUGUUCAUAAGAUAAGGGGCAAGUUUCAUUUUAAAAGAAAAAUACACAUUUUGUUAUUUUUUAAUUUUAUGGGAUUGGCCAAUGGUCAAGUUUUGUCUUCAAUGUGUGUGUAGUCGUCAUAAUUACACCACAGUUCAGUAGGGGGUUAUACAAGCUAUUUCAAAUGGGUGGUCAACUUUACCCUACCCAUAUUUACCUCUGGUCAACUUUACCCCGACCCAUUGGGUAAUGCUGACUGCCCAUAUAUCUAAUUGCAUCUUGCUUAUUAUAGGUAUUUUUUUUCUUUUUCGCUAUGGCUAGUAGAAGUACUAUGGAGAGAGAUUUCCCAUAUAUAACAUUCUAAUAAAAGCAAUUUAUUCUGGUUGAAA
Macrobrachium nipponense is the source of this 4593-nucleotide long non-coding RNA. RefSeq lists it as uncharacterized. Lineage: Eukaryota; Metazoa; Arthropoda; Malacostraca; Decapoda; Palaemonidae. The transcript is spliced from 5 exons. The record is from RefSeq and is a predicted model, not a curated record.